CUAAUACGUAUCAACUGUGACGUUACUCGCAGAAGAAGCACCGGCUAACUCCGUGCCAGCAGCCGCGGUAAUACGGAGGGUGCAAGCGUUAAUCGGAAUUACUGGGCGUAAAGCGCACGCAGGCGGUUGGAUAAGUUAGAUGUGAAAGCCCCGGGCUCAACCUGGGAAUUGCAUUUAAAACUGUCCAGCUAGAGUCUUGUAGAGGGGGGUAGAAUUCCAGGUGUAGCGGUGAAAUGCGUAGAGAUCUGGAGGAAUACCGGUGGCGAAGGCGGCCCCCUGG
RNAcentral lists this ribosomal RNA (280 nucleotides) under Aeromonas hydrophila. RNAcentral describes it as "partial 16S ribosomal RNA". It matches the Rfam family "Bacterial small subunit ribosomal RNA", at positions 454 to 732 of the family's 1533-position model. Lineage: Bacteria; Pseudomonadati; Pseudomonadota; Gammaproteobacteria; Aeromonadales; Aeromonadaceae. The record is from RNAcentral.